GACGAACGCUGGCGGCGUGCUUAACACAUGCAAGUCGAACGGAAAGGCCCUGCUUUUGUGGGGUGCUCGAGUGGCGAACGGGUGAGUAACACGUGAGUAACCUGCCCUUGACUUUGGGAUAACUUCAGGAAACUGGGGCUAAUACCGGAUAGGAGCUCCUGCUGCAUGGUGGGGGUUGGAAAGUUUCGGCGGUUGGGGAUGGACUCGCGGCUUAUCAGCUUGUUGGUGGGGUAGUGGCUUACCAAGGCUUUGACGGGUAGCCGGCCUGAGAGGGUGACCGGCCACAUUGGGACUGAGGUACGGCGCAGACUGCUACGGGGGGCAGCAGUGGGGAAUAUGGCACAAUGAGCGGAAGCCUGAUGCAGCAACGUCGGGUGCGGAAUGACGGCCUUCGGGUUGUAAACCGCUUUCGCCUGAGACGAAGCGUGAGUGACGGUAAUGUAUAAAGAAGCACCGGCUAACUACGUG
Molecule: ribosomal RNA, 468 nt
Filed under: uncultured bacterium
Lineage: Bacteria
Description: partial 16S ribosomal RNA
Rfam family: Bacterial small subunit ribosomal RNA
Source: RNAcentral